This 1190-nucleotide ribosomal RNA is filed under the name Leptanilla sp. VB04. RNAcentral describes it as "eukaryotic LSU rRNA". It matches the Rfam family "Eukaryotic large subunit ribosomal RNA", at positions 44 to 944 of the family's 3401-position model. Lineage: Eukaryota; Metazoa; Arthropoda; Insecta; Hymenoptera; Formicidae. The record is from RNAcentral.
UAUUAAGCGUAGGAAAAGAAACUAACUAGGAUUUCCCCAGUAGCGGCGAGCGAACAGGAAAAAGCCCAGCACUAAAUCCCGUGGUUUUGCCACAGGGAAAUGUAGUGUUCGGGAGGAUCAGAUUAUCCCGGGGUAUCGGAUCGCGUCCAAGUCCAUCUUGAAUGGGGCUCUUUACCCACAGAGGGUGCCAGGCCUGUAGUGGCCGGUUAUCGAGCCUCGGGAGGAUCUCUCCUUAGAGUCGGGUUGCUUGAGAGUGCAGCUCUAAGCGGGUGGUAAACUCCAUCUAAGGCUAAAUAUUACCACGAGACCGAUAGCGAACAAGUACCGUGAGGGAAAGUUGAAAAGAACUUUGAAGAGAGAGUUCAAUAGUACGUGAAACCGUUCAGGGGUAAACCUAAGAAACCCAAAAGAUCGAACGGGGAGAUUCAUCGUCAGCGACGUUGGCUUCGUGUCGGUCGGCGAUGUCCCGUGAAUCUCACGGUUUACGGGCACGUUACCGCGCGCGUAUGUCCGACGUUGUCGUCGUGCACUUCUCCCCUAGUAGGACGUCGCGACCCGCUGGGUGUCGGUCUACGGGCCGGGUGUGGUGUCUGUCGUGUCGCCGGUAAAACGGCACGUGGCAAACCCUCGGUUACCCGGCCGGCUGCCCGGCGGUACACUCAACGGUAUCAGGCCGCAAAUUUAAACUGCGUCAAGCCCGUCACAAGCGCGGCCACUUUUGGUAUCGGAGGUUACGGACCUGGCGCCGUCCCCGGUCCUGGCCCGCUGUUGGUCGACGGUGGAUUAUAUUACCUUUGACUGUGCCUAUAAUAAUAUAUACCGGUCGGCGACGCUACUGCUUUGGGUACUUUUAGGACCCGUCUUGAAACACGGACCAAGGAGUCUAACAUGUGCGCGAGUCAUUGGGAGUCUACUAAACCUAAAGGCGUAAUGAAAGUGAAGGUCGGCCCUGGUGCCGACCUAGGGAGGAUGGACCGCGUUGCGAUGCGGUUUCGCACUCCCGGGGCGUCUCGUUCUCAUUACGAGAACAGGCGCACCCAGAGCGUACACGUUGGGACCCGAAAGAUGGUGAACUAUGCCUGGUCAGGACGAAGUCAGGGGAAACCCUGAUGGAGGUCCGUAGCGAUUCUGACGUGCAAAUCGAUCGUCGGAACUGGGUAUAGGGGCGCAAAGUACUAAUCGUAACCAUC